This 1550-nucleotide ribosomal RNA is filed under the name Enterobacter asburiae. Its description in RNAcentral is "bacterial SSU rRNA". It matches the Rfam family "Bacterial small subunit ribosomal RNA". RNAcentral also lists the same sequence under 1 other name. Lineage: Bacteria; Pseudomonadati; Pseudomonadota; Gammaproteobacteria; Enterobacterales; Enterobacteriaceae. The record is from RNAcentral.
AAAUUGAAGAGUUUGAUCAUGGCUCAGAUUGAACGCUGGCGGCAGGCCUAACACAUGCAAGUCGAGCGGUAGCACAGAGAGCUUGCUCUCGGGUGACGAGCGGCGGACGGGUGAGUAAUGUCUGGGAAACUGCCUGAUGGAGGGGGAUAACUACUGGAAACGGUAGCUAAUACCGCAUAAUGUCGCAAGACCAAAGAGGGGGACCUUCGGGCCUCUUGCCAUCAGAUGUGCCCAGAUGGGAUUAGCUAGUAGGUGGGGUAACGGCUCACCUAGGCGACGAUCCCUAGCUGGUCUGAGAGGAUGACCAGCCACACUGGAACUGAGACACGGUCCAGACUCCUACGGGAGGCAGCAGUGGGGAAUAUUGCACAAUGGGCGCAAGCCUGAUGCAGCCAUGCCGCGUGUAUGAAGAAGGCCUUCGGGUUGUAAAGUACUUUCAGCGGGGAGGAAGGCGAUAAGGUUAAUAACCUUGUCGAUUGACGUUACCCGCAGAAGAAGCACCGGCUAACUCCGUGCCAGCAGCCGCGGUAAUACGGAGGGUGCAAGCGUUAAUCGGAAUUACUGGGCGUAAAGCGCACGCAGGCGGUCUGUCAAGUCGGAUGUGAAAUCCCCGGGCUCAACCUGGGAACUGCAUUCGAAACUGGCAGGCUAGAGUCUUGUAGAGGGGGGUAGAAUUCCAGGUGUAGCGGUGAAAUGCGUAGAGAUCUGGAGGAAUACCGGUGGCGAAGGCGGCCCCCUGGACAAAGACUGACGCUCAGGUGCGAAAGCGUGGGGAGCAAACAGGAUUAGAUACCCUGGUAGUCCACGCCGUAAACGAUGUCGACUUGGAGGUUGUGCCCUUGAGGCGUGGCUUCCGGAGCUAACGCGUUAAGUCGACCGCCUGGGGAGUACGGCCGCAAGGUUAAAACUCAAAUGAAUUGACGGGGGCCCGCACAAGCGGUGGAGCAUGUGGUUUAAUUCGAUGCAACGCGAAGAACCUUACCUACUCUUGACAUCCAGAGAACUUUCCAGAGAUGGAUUGGUGCCUUCGGGAACUCUGAGACAGGUGCUGCAUGGCUGUCGUCAGCUCGUGUUGUGAAAUGUUGGGUUAAGUCCCGCAACGAGCGCAACCCUUAUCCUUUGUUGCCAGCGGUUAGGCCGGGAACUCAAAGGAGACUGCCAGUGAUAAACUGGAGGAAGGUGGGGAUGACGUCAAGUCAUCAUGGCCCUUACGAGUAGGGCUACACACGUGCUACAAUGGCGCAUACAAAGAGAAGCGACCUCGCGAGAGCAAGCGGACCUCAUAAAGUGCGUCGUAGUCCGGAUUGGAGUCUGCAACUCGACUCCAUGAAGUCGGAAUCGCUAGUAAUCGUAGAUCAGAAUGCUACGGUGAAUACGUUCCCGGGCCUUGUACACACCGCCCGUCACACCAUGGGAGUGGGUUGCAAAAGAAGUAGGUAGCUUAACCUUCGGGAGGGCGCUUACCACUUUGUGAUUCAUGACUGGGGUGAAGUCGUAACAAGGUAACCGUAGGGGAACCUGCGGUUGGAUCACCUCCUUACCUUAAAGAA